AUUGAACGCUGGCGGCAGGCUUAACACAUGCAAGUCGAGCGGAGUGAUGGUGCUUGCACUAUCACUUAGCGGCGGACGUGUGAGUAAUGCUUAGGAAUCUGCCUAUUAGUGGGGGACAACAUCUCGAAAGGGAUGCUAAUACCGCAUACGUCCUACGGGAGAAAGCAGGGGAUCACUUGUGACCUUGCGCUAAUAGAUGAGCCUAAGUCGGAUUAGCUAGUUGGUGGGGUAAAGGCCUACCAAGGCGACGAGCUGUAGCGGGUCGGAGAGGAGGCUCCGCGACGCUGGGACUGGGACACGGCCCAGACUACUGCGGGAGGCAGCAGUGGGGAAUAUUGGACAAUGGGGGGAACCAUGAUCCAGCCAUGCCGCGUGUGUGAAGAAGGCCUUAUGGUUGUAAAGCACUAUAAGCGAGGAGGAGGCUACUUUAGUUAAUACCUAGAGAUAGUGGACGUUACUCGCAGAAUAAGCACCGGCUAACUCUGUGCCAGCAGCCGCCGUAA
Molecule: ribosomal RNA, 503 nt
Filed under: uncultured bacterium
Lineage: Bacteria
Description: partial 16S ribosomal RNA
Rfam family: Bacterial small subunit ribosomal RNA
Source: RNAcentral